GAGAGAGGAGGAGGAGGAGGAGGAGGCGGAUCCAAUCAGGAGUCAACGAGGUGCAGCCGUGAGGAGGCUCGGCCGCUGCGACGCGAUUGGCCGUUGACAGGUUUGGAGCAAUCAGCAGUGUGGUACUUGAGCAGUAGCUCACCGCUGAAGCGUCAGCCAGCGUCAGCCCGCGUGCAACCCGUGUGUGAAGACCUCCGUGUGUGAAGACCGACGUGGGUAAAGACCUGCGACUCUACCUGCGCGACUCAACCGAGCAGAGGAAACCGACAGAGGCCGGGCGAGGGGGGUAACGCCGCUUUUCACGCUAAGUUGUAGUGAUGCGCAGGUCGACCCGCGGAUAUCUGCGGGUGCGGACCCGCGCAUCACUGGUAAGUUGCUUUUCUGCACUUUUCCCGUGUGCUUCGUUGCUCUCAGCUGUGUAGGAUGGAGGAACACAUGGGUGCGCUUGUCGGGGGAUGACUCUAAGUGUGACCGGGUUGGAGGCACCGACGGUGCUGGAUGCAGGGCCUGACGCGCUACACCUGAGCCUGGUGUCUUCCCCUUUAAAUCUUGGCUCUCUGACUUCUCUGACUGUCUUCCUCAUGGCUCCCAUGCGCCUAGCAGACCUGAUGGCGGUUGCUGCCUUUCAGGUGCUGGAUGCAGGGAACCGCCUGAUGUGCAACACCUGAGCCUCGUGUGGCUGCAUAAAGUCCCUCCCCCUUUCAGUCCAGGCUCCCUAACAUCUCAAGUUAUCUCUCUGGCUGUCUUCAUCAUCGCUCCUGGCAGACCUGAUGGCAGCUUUUUUUUUUUUUUUUUUUUUUGUUGUUGUUGUUGUUGUUGUUGUUG
Seriola aureovittata is the source of this 825-nucleotide long non-coding RNA. RefSeq lists it as uncharacterized. The transcript is spliced from 3 exons. The record is from RefSeq and is a predicted model, not a curated record. Lineage: Eukaryota; Metazoa; Chordata; Actinopteri; Carangiformes; Carangidae.